RNAcentral lists this unclassified non-coding RNA (414 nucleotides) under Hevea brasiliensis (rubber tree). The record is from RNAcentral. Lineage: Eukaryota; Viridiplantae; Streptophyta; Magnoliopsida; Malpighiales; Euphorbiaceae.
GAAGCCUUGAUGGAAAGUCAAAAAGAAAUUUAAAGAGGAAAAGGGCCAACAAAUGCAUGUCAUGUAAACACAUCAUCAAUGAAAGUCAAACAUAGUUCAUCAAUAUCAUUUUUUAAACUAACAGGAUACUUGCAUUUUAACCAUAAGAGAUUGCAACAUAUGACCAAGCAACAGCCUCAGUGUCAGUGGAUAAUUGAAUUAACUUGACAUGAUUGAUUAAAGAAAAAAUCAUAAAAACCGUAAUAUUAGUCCAGCAAUUUUGGGUUCUUAAUCUUCUGGUUCUCUGCCAUUAACAGCUUUUGGCAGUGUGCACACGAGAUAACCGAUUCUUGUCAUAAUAAAUAAAACAAAUAUACAAAAAGGAUCAAAAUAAAUACAAAAUAAGGCAAAAAAAAAAAAGGAAAUUUAUUCCUG